RNAcentral lists this ribosomal RNA (468 nucleotides) under uncultured bacterium. RNAcentral describes it as "partial 16S ribosomal RNA". It matches the Rfam family "Bacterial small subunit ribosomal RNA", at positions 28 to 507 of the family's 1533-position model. The record is from RNAcentral.
GACGAACGCUGGCGGCGUGCUUAACACAUGCAAGUCGAACGGAAAGGCCCUGCUUUUGUGGGGUGCUCGAGUGGCGAACGGGUGAGUAACACGUGAGUAACCUGCCCUUGACUUUGGGAUAACUUCAGGAAACUGGGGCUAAUACCGGAUAGGAGCUCCUGCUGCAUGGGGGGGGUUGGAAAGUUUCGGCGGUUGGGGAUGGACUCGCGGCUUAUCAGCUUGUUGGUGGGGUAGUGGCUUACCAAGGCUUUGACGGGUAGCCGGCCUGAGAGGGUGACCGGCCACAUUAGGCCUGAGAUACGGCCCAGUCUCCUACGGGAGGCAGCAGUGGGGAAUAUUGCACAAUGGGCGGGAGCCUGAUGCAGCAACGCCGCGUGCGGGAUGACGGCCUUCGGGUUGUAAACCGCUUUCGCCUGUAACGAAGCGUGAGUGACGGUAAUGGGUAAAGAAGCACCGGCUAACUACGUG